GACGAACGCUGGCGGCGUGCUUAACACAUGCAAGUCGAACGGAAAGGCCCUGCUUUUGUGGGGUGCUCGAGUGGCGAACGGGUGAGUAACAUGUGAGUCACCUGCCCUUGACUUUGGGAUAACUUCAGGAAACUGGGGCUAAUACCGGCUAGGAGCUCCUGCUGCAUGGUGGUGGUUGGAAAGUUUCGGCGGUUGGGGAUGGACUCGCGGCUUAGCAGCUUGUUGGUGGGGGAGUGGCUUACCAAGGCUUUGACGGGUAGCCGGCCUGAGAGGGUGACCGGCCACAUUGGGACUGGGAUACGGCCCAGACUCCUACAGGAGGCAGCAGUGGGGAAUAUUGCACAAUGGGCGGAAGCCUGAUGCAGCAACGCCGCGUGCGGGAUGUCGGCCUUCGGGUUGUAAACCGCUUGCGCCUGUGACGAAGCGUGAGUGACGGUAAUGGGUAAAGAAGCACCGGCUAACUACGUG
Molecule: ribosomal RNA, 468 nt
Filed under: uncultured bacterium
Lineage: Bacteria
Description: partial 16S ribosomal RNA
Rfam family: Bacterial small subunit ribosomal RNA
Source: RNAcentral